GGAGAGGUGACCGAGAGGCCGAUGGUGCUCGCUUGCUAAGCGAGUGUACUGCCAAAAGCGGUACCGCGGGUUCGAAUCCCGCCCUCUCCGCCA
This 93-nucleotide transfer RNA is filed under the name Pseudomonadota bacterium. RNAcentral's name for it is "tRNA-Ser". It matches the Rfam family "tRNA". From Rfam's summary of the family: Transfer RNA (tRNA) molecules are approximately 80 nucleotides in length. Their secondary structure includes four short double-helical elements and three loops (D, anti-codon, and T loops). The record is from RNAcentral. RNAcentral also lists the same sequence under 3 other names. Lineage: Bacteria; Pseudomonadati; Pseudomonadota.